GCUUGCUCGAGGGUCAGAAGCCCCUAGGGCAUCACAGCUGUAGCUGAUAAUUAGUACAUAUCUUCACAAGACUCUAUCGAAAUCGGUCAGCUAGAUCACUUCUUCGUGUGAGUAGUAAGCUAGGGAGCACACUGGAUUAGAUUGUUUGUUAGUCCUAGUACUCAACUAUCAGCACUUCGGGUACCUCCCGGACGGGCGUCGUCCCUGAGGUACAGCAGUAUGUCAAGCAGUCUGGGGAGUACGGUCGCAAGAUUCAAUUCAGAGGAAUUGCACGGGGGCCCGCACAAUUGGUGGAACAUGUGGUUCAAUUCGACGGUACGCGAGGAUCCUUACGUGGGCUCGAAAAGGUAGUUACCAGCUUUUAAAUAUUGCCUUCCGGCAAGGGACACUAGUAUCGGCGUGCAUGGCUGUAGUCAGCUCGUUCCGUGAGGUGUUGGGUUAAGUCGCGGAACGAGCGCAUCACCCUGCACACAGUUGUUACUGAUUAGAGAGGACUGCGUGUGGUAGGCUCCGGAUAACGGAGAGGAAGGUGGGGAUGACGUCAAUUCUGCAUGGCCUUUAUGUCCAGGGCUACACACGGGUUACAAUCCUGGGCACAAGCCGUUUCCAACCCGGGAGGGGGAUCUAAUCAGAAAAAACUCUGCUCAGUUCGGAUUGCAGUCUGCAACUCGUAUGCAUGAAGCGGGAAUCGUUAGUAAUGGUGUAUCAGAUCGGAGCCGUGAAUACGUUCCCGGGCCUUGUACACACCCCCCGUCCCAUCCCGAAAGUGAGUUGUACUAGAAGUCGCCGGGCUAACAGCAAGGAGGCAAGCGCCCAAGGUAUGUUUCAUGAUUGGGGCGAAGUCGUACAAGGUAACCAAGGGCGAAUUUGCGGCCAGUCCAAUCAAGCGCCUUAUUUGGAG
This 901-nucleotide ribosomal RNA is filed under the name uncultured soil bacterium. RNAcentral describes it as "SSU rRNA". It matches the Rfam family "Bacterial small subunit ribosomal RNA", at positions 636 to 1533 of the family's 1533-position model. The record is from RNAcentral.